UCUCGUCUCUCACUUAUUUCUCUUUCUUCACUCUCUUUACUUUUUUCACUUUCUUUGUUCCCUUUGCUGUGCUUCACUUCGGUAGGAAAGAGUUUUUGGACAGGACGACUGAGAAAGACCAACUUUCCUUUUCGCGCCGUCAACCUGACCUUAGCACCUCUCACCACAUCUCAACUUCAUCCUUCUCAACAACUCUUUUACUAUUUUCUCGCUUCCGAUCCCUUUAUGGAAUUCUCUCAAAUCAGCAAGAUACUCCCUACGCCACCUAUUCCAAAAAUGUUGCUUUUUCUGAAAC
This is a non-coding RNA of Paramuricea clavata, 295 nucleotides long. The record is from the annotation of a GenBank genome assembly. NCBI's taxonomy places the organism in Eukaryota, Metazoa, Cnidaria, Anthozoa, Malacalcyonacea, Plexauridae.